Molecule: non-coding RNA, 117 nt
Organism: Paramuricea clavata
Lineage: Eukaryota; Metazoa; Cnidaria; Anthozoa; Malacalcyonacea; Plexauridae
Source: the annotation of a GenBank genome assembly
UGGGGGGGGGGGGAAAUAUUCAUAUAUUCGUGUUCUGCUUUAUUAAUUUCUUUUGAAAUCAAUUGUUUUUUUUAUGAUAUGUGAACACGAAUAUAUGAAUAUGUGCCCCCCCCUCCC